UGUCGAUUGGUGAACAGCGGGAGGGAUCAUUA
RNAcentral lists this ribosomal RNA (32 nucleotides) under Colletotrichum falcatum. RNAcentral's name for it is "partial 18S ribosomal RNA". The record is from RNAcentral. Lineage: Eukaryota; Fungi; Ascomycota; Sordariomycetes; Glomerellales; Glomerellaceae.